Molecule: long non-coding RNA, 612 nt
Filed under: Sorghum bicolor (sorghum)
Lineage: Eukaryota; Viridiplantae; Streptophyta; Magnoliopsida; Poales; Poaceae
Description: long non-coding RNA (SBIC_LNC008260)
Source: RNAcentral
UGAGCGUUUAUAAUCCUACCACAAUCACAUAUACAUGCUUAUUAGACUAUGAACCAUACAUUUACUUUUUACUACUUAUGAGCACUGAGUGUGGUCAAGCUGUGUAGACCCUUAGGAGCUUGUCAUGCGGUUAAAAUCAAGAUUCACUUGCACGUUCACUCUUACAUGCUGCUUCUACUCCAGAAGUACACAUCCACAUACAUCCACUCAUUUCCAUCUCCAGAUUCACCCAAAAUUAUUCUACCCCUAUCCAGGAGAGAAUAGCCAAAAACAUUAUCUUAUCCCUGUUAUUCCCCGUGAAAUAAAUGCUCAAGAUAUUUUGGUUACUACCAAUUGCUACAUUAUUCCAGGAGGGUGAGUUAUCUAAAAAAAAUGAAUACGAGGAAAUAAAAAGGGGCAAGUGCCCGGAACCUCGAAGAAAAUAAAAAAGUGAGACGAGAGGUAAAAAUGGACAAGUGUCCGACAGUAGAAUUUGGGGUACAAGAUACCCACCUGAGAGAAAAGAAAAAGAAAAUAAAGAGCAUCUAAUUCUCCUCAAAAAGCUUCAAAAUGCAAGAAAGGUAUGUAUCCCCUCAAAAGAGCAAAAGUAGAAUUAGACUUUCACCAUUGUUU